AGUCUUAUCGGUAUUAGUAAGGUACACUAAAUGUGUGCGUGUGCGAGCGCUUGCUCGCGACUGAUUGGUCCAACAUGCACGCACACUUACGCAAUGCCCAUGCAUACUACGUUCUCUCGCCUUCGUGAAUUUCAAGAACUGUA
Molecule: long non-coding RNA, 143 nt
Organism: Maniola jurtina (meadow brown)
Lineage: Eukaryota; Metazoa; Arthropoda; Insecta; Lepidoptera; Nymphalidae
Exons: 3
Source: RefSeq, a predicted model, not a curated record